UAUUUCCAAAUUAAAAGGCUCCCAGUAAACUACAAAAUGUGGAUACACCAGCACAAGGUAAUAGAAUGGCUACAUUUAAUUAUAAUGUUUACAUUUAUCAAAUGUUAACUUUUUCAGCAUACACACAAAUGCAAUAAGAAAUGAAUGUAACAUCAGGUGUGUGAGCAUCAAGUCCCUCCCCUCAAAAGAUCAGCCUGGCACUAGUAAUUUUGUUUUCCAGGUGUUUCUGCAGUUCUAGAAAUGGAAAUCACCAGUGGGAGGUUGGCAGGAAGCCCUCUCAUUCGUCACCCCAAGUGGUGGGCCUGGUGCCCUCCAUCGGCCUGCCCUGACAGCCACCUCCCAGUGCCCAGAGGGGAAACCAGUCUUGCUUGGGCUAGUGGCUGAGUGUUGCAAGCCCACGACGGACUGCCCACGCCAUGAAUGAUGCAAGUGGUUGGUGGUCCUUUCUCUUGACCCUGGUUGUCAUGUCUUGAAGAUUGUAAUAUUUUGAAGGCAGGAGCUAGACUUACUUGAAUCAACACUGGAACCCCAACACAGAGCACUGGAUAUACUUCCCAGGGGUGGACACUGAGGCUGAGUCUAUCAAACAUGCUGUGAAGGAGUGUCCUUGCACCAGUACCACUGGAAAGGAGAGAACAGAUGCAGGAGUGGACAAAGGGAGAACCACACAGCCUCAGCCAACCCAACAGGGCGCUCCAGGCCUAGACCUGCCCUUCAAGGUUGUCCUGGGGCCUGGAUGCUGGACCUCCAUCCAUCCAAGGAUGUGGGCCAACCUGGAAAGGGCCUAUGGGACUUGGCCCAGGCAGCUCUCUUCAGCUGAGGCAGUUGCCGUCACAGCAUCCAUCACACUUGUGAAGAGUCUCUGCGUGUCAGCACGACGUAGCGAAUCGAUCUGGCUGGGUGAGCCGCGACAAACCCCACAGUAAAAAGCAUCAGCAAAUUUAAAGCCUCGUUCGAGGUCUUGAUUCACCAUAAACUAAGCUGCCGGCAGCAGGCAUCGACACUUCUUCCACCGCGGUUGAUACCGGGAUUUAUUGACUUGCUGUUAAGAUGUUGAUAUUGACCAAGACUGAGUUCCAAAUGAAAAGGCCUAUGGCAGUCUAUCUUUAUUGCUCGGAUAAUCCGAGGACUUGCUAAUCCUUCCUUGUUCCACUCAAUACUGUUGCAGAAAUUCUUUUGGAACGGAGAGACCAUCACUUAGACACAAUAAGAUGCUCUUUCCCCACAAGGCCUCCUGAAAUGGGGAUGGAGGUCAAGCAUGUUGAGAACAUAACCAGAGUGUUGGAAACUCUAUUCAUGCCUGCACCCAAAACCAUGAUACCUUUAACUUUUUAGAGACCCAGCUUUCUCCUCUUGGGAAACAGCCCAGAAGAAGACACAACAGGACUUCAAAUGGAAUCUGUUCAUGAACAGUGUCUACUUCCCUUCCCCCACUGGUCCUCUUCAGGGCUGUAGGCUUGCAUAUCUCCAACCCAGACUAAUGAAUUCCAGUCCCAGGGGACAACUAUGAUGUCACCCUUAGUGCUGGCCCCUGACAGUGAAAUUAAUGUGACAUUUGGUUCUUGCUAAUUUCAAGGCCCACUAUGAACACAGACAAAGAAGGAAAAAUUUAUUACCUGCUAAUUUAUUUUCUCAUUGAAAUACAGUCUGCAGCCCUCACUUUAGAGGAGGAUAUGUUUGCAGUAGAGUCAUAUAUGGUGACUUUUGAGUUAUUUUGGAUGUCAGGGUCC
Camelus dromedarius (Arabian camel) is the source of this 1730-nucleotide long non-coding RNA. NCBI's taxonomy places the organism in Eukaryota, Metazoa, Chordata, Mammalia, Artiodactyla, Camelidae. The record is from Ensembl.